GAUGAACGCUGGCGGCGUGCCUAAUACAUGCAAGUCGAGCGAACAGACGAGGAGCUUGCUCCUCUGACGUUAGCGGCGGACGGGUGAGUAACACGUGGAUAACCUACCUAUAAGACUGGGAUAACUUCGGGAAACCGGAGCUAAUACCGGAUAAUAUAUUGAACCGCAUGGUUCAAUAGUGAAAGACGGCUUUGCUGUCACUUAUAGAUGGAUCCGCGCCGCAUUAGCUAGUUGGUAAGGUAACGGCUUACCAAGGCAACGAUGCGUAGCCGACCUGAGAGGGUGAUCGGCCACACUGGAACUGAGACACGGUCCAGACUCCUACGGGAGGCAGCAGUAGGGAAUCUUCCGCAAUGGGCGAAAGCCUGACGGAGCAACGCCGCGUGAGUGAUGAAGGUCUCGGAUCGUAAAACUCUGUUAUUAGGGAAGAACAAAUGUGUAAGUAACUAUGCACGUCUUGACGGUACCUAAUCAGAAAGCCACGGCUAACUACGUG
This 496-nucleotide ribosomal RNA is filed under the name uncultured bacterium. Its description in RNAcentral is "partial 16S ribosomal RNA". It matches the Rfam family "Bacterial small subunit ribosomal RNA", at positions 28 to 507 of the family's 1533-position model. The record is from RNAcentral.